This 443-nucleotide ribosomal RNA is filed under the name uncultured bacterium. RNAcentral's name for it is "partial 16S ribosomal RNA". It matches the Rfam family "Bacterial small subunit ribosomal RNA", at positions 338 to 795 of the family's 1533-position model. The record is from RNAcentral.
CCUACGGGUGGCAGCAGUGGGGAAUAUUGGGCAAUGGAGGCAACUCUGACCCAGCAACGCCGCGUGAAGGAUGAAGGUCUUCGGAUUGUAAAGUUCUGUGAUGGGGGAUGAACACAAUGACGGUACCCCACUAGCAAGCCACGGCUAGCUACGUGCCAGCAGCCGCGGUAAUACGGCGGGGGCAAGCGUUAGCCGGAAUGACUGGGCGUAAAGGGUGCGUAGGUGGUUUGGUAAGUUGGCGGUGUAAUUCCGGGGCUCAACCCCGGCGCUGCCGCCCAAACUGUUAGACUAGAGUGCAGGGGAGGUAAGUGGAAUUCCUAGUGUAGCGGUGGAAUGCGUAGAUAUUAGGAGGAACAUCAGGUGCGAAGGCGACUUACUGGACUGUAACUGACACUGAGGCACGAAAGCGUGGGGAGCAAACAGGAUUAGAUACCCCAGUAGUC